AGUGAACGCUGGCGGUAGGCCUAACACAUGCGAGUCGAACGGCAGCACAGUAAGAGCUUGCUCCUACGGGUGGCGAGUGGCGGACGGGUGAGGAAUACAUCGGAAUCUACUUUUUCGUGGGGGAUAACGUAGGGAAACUUACGCUAAUACCGCAUACGACCUACGGGUGAAAGCAGGGGAUCUUCGGACCUUGCGCGAUUGAAUGAGCCGAUGUCGGAUUAGCUAGUUGGCGGGGUAAAGGCCCACCAAGGCGACGAUCCGUAGCUGGUCUGAGAGGAUGAUCAGCCACACUGGAACUGAGACACGGUCCAGACUCCUACGGGAGGCAGCAGUGGGGAAUAUUGGACAAUGGGCGCAAGCCUGAUCCAGCCAUACCGCGUGGGUGAAGAAGGCCUUCGGGUUGUAAAGCCCUUUUGUUGGGAAAGAAAAGCAGCAGGUUAAUACCCCGCUGUUCUGACGGUACCCAAAGAAUAAGCACCGGCUAACUUCGUG
This 492-nucleotide ribosomal RNA is filed under the name uncultured bacterium. Its description in RNAcentral is "partial 16S ribosomal RNA". It matches the Rfam family "Bacterial small subunit ribosomal RNA", at positions 29 to 507 of the family's 1533-position model. The record is from RNAcentral.